AUGAAAGGCUGGGGUGCUAACCUGGGACGAGACCUCCGCGACCGCAAGAAGGCCUUGUUGACCGCCAUACAGGCCCUUGACCUGCGUGCGGACGCGGUCGGCCUCUCCCCCGACGAGUGGCUCUCUCGCUACGACUUAGAAGACCAGCUCUCCGUCAUCUACACUGAUGUGGAGGCCUAUUGGCGCCUCCGCGGUGCCCAGAAAUGGGUUUUGAAGGGCGACGCUAACACGGCCUACUUUCAAGCCAUCGCGAAUGGCCGCCGUAGACGCAACACCAUCCCCCUCCUUUGGGAUGGCGCGAUGGUCCUGCAGGACCCCCGUGACAUUCGGACCCAUGUUGACGGGUUCUAUAGGUCCUUGUUCUCUGCCGCUCCUCGGAGCGGCCUUUCCCUAGCCCCUGAUUGCUGGACCGGCCCCCAGCUGGUUUCUGAUGCGGAGAACGCGGCCCUUACGGCCCCCUUCUCCGAGGGAGAGGUCUGGGCUGCCAUUAGUGGCAUGAACCCUACCUCGGCUCCAGGUCCAGAUGGCCUCCCGGUUAAAUUCUUCUAAACCUUCUGGAACGUGAUUAAACCAGAGGUCAUGGCCAUCUCCGACGAGUUCUACAUUGGGUCCAUCGACCUCGACGCCAACUUUGGGAUCAUCUCUUUCAUUCCUAAGGUGCCUGGCGCUUCCGACAUCCGCCAGUUUCGUCCGAUCACGGUUAUCAACGUGAUUUUCUGGAUUCUGGCAAAAGGGUAUGCCAAUAGGGUGACCCGUCUUGCUGACCACAUUACCCACCCCAACCAGUCCGCCUUCAUUCAAGGUCGGUAUAUCCUGGAUGGGGUGCUUGUUCUUCGUGAAGUCCUCCAUGAGGUCCGCUCCCAACACCUCAAGGCGGUAUUCCUGAAGAUUGUUUUCCAUAAGGCUUAUGACAUUGUUAGUUGGCCCUUCCUGUUGGGGAACGUAGUAAUUUAA
This 954-nucleotide ribosomal RNA is filed under the name Triticum aestivum (bread wheat). RNAcentral describes it as "partial small subunit ribosomal RNA". The record is from RNAcentral. Lineage: Eukaryota; Viridiplantae; Streptophyta; Magnoliopsida; Poales; Poaceae.